Molecule: long non-coding RNA, 307 nt
Organism: Sinocyclocheilus grahami
Lineage: Eukaryota; Metazoa; Chordata; Actinopteri; Cypriniformes; Cyprinidae
Exons: 3
Source: RefSeq, a predicted model, not a curated record
GCGGUUUAAAUCAGCACGAGGCACGCAUGCGCUGGAGUUUCCCGCUGACAACCUGGGGGCAAAGCUGAUCACCGCGCUUUUUCAGUUCAUUUCACAAAGACAUACAGAAGAGAAUUUUAGAAGAAGAACAAUGAAAAGAUGAUAAAGGAGAUGAGCAAAGAUGAACAAAACAUUUGCACAUCGACGACACGAAAUCAUUAUGAUCAAUGUCCAUGUGUGCAAGACAUAAAGGAACGAUGGACAGCCCUGUUUCAACCUUCUCAAGUGAAUGCAGAAUUUCACAGAAUAACCAGUGCAGCUGGAACCU